AGAUUGAACGCUGGCGGCAGGCUUAACACAUGCAAGUCGAGCGGUAGCACAGGGGAGCUUGCUCCCUGGGUGACGAGCGGCGGACGGGUGAGUAAUGUCUGGGAAACUGCCUGAUGGAGGGGGAUAACUACUGGAAACGGUAGCUAAUACCGCAUAACGUCGCAAGACCAAAGAGGGGGACCUUCGGGCCUCUUGCCAUCAGAUGUGCCCAGAUGGGAUUAGCUAGUAGGUGGGGUAAUGGCUCACCUAGGCGACGAUCCCUAGCUGGUCUGAGAGGAUGACCAGCCACACUGGAACUGAGACACGGUCCAGACUCCUACGGGAGGCAGCAGUGGGGAAUAUUGCACAAUGGGCGCAAGCCUGAUGCAGCCAUGCCGCGUGUGUGAAGAAGGCCUUCGGGUUGUAAAGCACUUUCAGCGAGGAGGAAGGUGGUGAACUUAAUACGUUCAUCAAUUGACGUUACUCGCAGAAGAAGCACCGGCUAACUCCGUGCCAGCAGCCGCGGUAAUACGGAGGGUGCAAGCGUUAAUCGGAAUUACUGGGCGUAAAGCGCACGCAGGCUGUUUGUUAAGUCA
This 575-nucleotide ribosomal RNA is filed under the name uncultured Enterobacterales bacterium. RNAcentral's name for it is "bacterial SSU rRNA". It matches the Rfam family "Bacterial small subunit ribosomal RNA", at positions 26 to 590 of the family's 1533-position model. The record is from RNAcentral. Lineage: Bacteria; Pseudomonadati; Pseudomonadota; Gammaproteobacteria; Enterobacterales.